RNAcentral lists this unclassified non-coding RNA (349 nucleotides) under uncultured fungus. Its description in RNAcentral is "sequence contains ITS2". The record is from RNAcentral. Lineage: Eukaryota; Fungi.
AACGCAUAUUGCGCCUCGUGGUAUUCCGGGAGGCAUGCCUGUUUGAGAACCUUGACGUACCUCAAAACCCACCUUCGGGUUGGGUGUUUGGAUCUGGGCUCUCCCUCCCUCUCCUCGAGAGGAAGGGUUGCCUUAAAUUCAGCAAUCGAGCGGUAGAAGUCCACUUUUGCAAAGACGUGAUAAUAUGGGACUUUUGAUCCUGUUUUGACGUCGAAGCGCUCUUGGUGUUCUUCAUUUUAAAAGCUUUUCUUCAAAAGCUGCCGUCCGAUCCAUCGUCACCAGGCACAACCUAGUUGUGAAUCCCUGAACACCUGGUCUCAAAUCAGACAAGACAACCCGCUGAACUUAA